GAUGAACGCUGGCGGCGUGCUUAACACAUGCAAGUCGAACGGAAAGGCUCCUGCUUGCAGGGGUACUCGAGUGGCGAACGGGUGAGUAACACGUGGGUGAUCUGCCCUGUACUUCGGGAUAAGCCUGGGAAACUGGGUCUAAUACCGGAUAGGACGAUGGUUUGGAUGCCAUUGUGGAAAAUUUUUCGGUUUGGGAUGAGCUCGCGGCCUAUCAGCUUGUUGGUGGGGUAAUGGCAUACUAAGGCGUCGACGGGUAGCCGGCCUGAGAGGGUGCACGGCCACAUUGGGCCUGAGAUACGGACCAGACUCCUACGGGAGGCAGCAGUGGGGAAUAUUGCACAAUGAGCGCAAGCCAGAUGCAGAGACGCUGCGUGGGGGAUGACGGCCUUCGGGUUAUAAACACCUUUCGAUAGAAACGAAGAGCAAGUGACGGUACCUGGAGAAGAAGCACCGGCUAACUACGUG
RNAcentral lists this ribosomal RNA (465 nucleotides) under uncultured bacterium. Its description in RNAcentral is "partial 16S ribosomal RNA". It matches the Rfam family "Bacterial small subunit ribosomal RNA", at positions 28 to 507 of the family's 1533-position model. The record is from RNAcentral.